RNAcentral lists this ribosomal RNA (201 nucleotides) under Triticum aestivum (bread wheat). RNAcentral describes it as "partial small subunit ribosomal RNA". The record is from RNAcentral. Lineage: Eukaryota; Viridiplantae; Streptophyta; Magnoliopsida; Poales; Poaceae.
AAACCAAAUGGGAUCCUCUUGCCUUCAACAUUCUGCUGUCCGACACAAGCGGUCAUUUGCGAAAUAUUAAUGAAACUGCCUUUUGAGCCUGCAGUGCAUAGCUUUCAGAUUGUUGCUCUCAGACAAACUCUGCUGAGCACUACUCCCAGAAUCAUCACGAGCCUUGUUAAGAACCUAACAUGGAAAAUAGAUAUGUCAUAA